This 75-nucleotide transfer RNA is filed under the name Acholeplasmataceae bacterium. Its description in RNAcentral is "tRNA-Gln". It matches the Rfam family "tRNA". From Rfam's summary of the family: Transfer RNA (tRNA) molecules are approximately 80 nucleotides in length. Lineage: Bacteria; Bacillati; Mycoplasmatota; Mollicutes; Acholeplasmatales; Acholeplasmataceae. The record is from RNAcentral.
AGGGCUAUAGCCAAGCGGUAAGGCAACGGACUUUGACUCCGUCACCCGAUAGUUCGAAUCUAUCUAGCCCUGCCA